RNAcentral lists this long non-coding RNA (279 nucleotides) under Homo sapiens (human). RNAcentral's name for it is "HSALNT0258950". The record is from RNAcentral. Lineage: Eukaryota; Metazoa; Chordata; Mammalia; Primates; Hominidae.
UGGCGGAAGACAUGGAGACCAAAAUCAAGAACUACAAGACCGCCCCUUUUGACAGCCGCUUCCCCAACCAGAACCAGACUAGAAACUGCUGGCAGAACUACCUGGACUUCCACCGCUGUCAGAAGGCACGUUUCCCGGGAAGAUCUGAACUGGCUGCAUCUCCCUUUCCUCUGUCCUCCAUCCUUCUCCCAGGAUGGUGAAGGGGGACCUGGUACCCAGUGAUCCCCACCCCAGGAUCCUAAAUCAUGACUUACCUGCUAAUAAAAACUCAUUGGAAAA